CCGGCUGAAUUAAGCAUAUCAAUAAGCGGAGGAAAAGAACCCACCAGGGAUUGCCUCAGUAACGGCGAGUGAAGCGGCAACAGCUCAAUUUUAAAUCUUGACUUCGGUCCGAGUUGUAAUUUCCAGAGGGAAUUUGGAAAGCGACACUGGCCUAAGUCCCUUGGAACAGGGCGUCAUAGAGGGUGAGAAUCCCGUAUGUGGCCAGAGGUCAAUUUCAUGUCAAAUCCCUUCGACGAGUCGAGUUGUUUGGGAAUGCAGCUCAAAAUGGGUGGUAAAUUUCAUCUAAAGCUAAAUACCGGCCAGAGACCGAUAGCGCACAAGUAGAGUGAUCGAAAGAUGAAAAGCACUUUGGAAAGAGAGUUAAACAGUACGUGAAAUUGUUGAAAGGGAAGCGCUUGCCAUUAGACCGAUUCACCGGUUGCAGUCGGAGGCAACUCUGGACGUAAAGCACCGGUAUUUCGGCCAGCAUCGGUUUGGGUGGUUUGACAAAGACGCACAGAACGUGGCUCUUCGGAGUGUUAUAGCUGUGCGUGUAAUGAAAUCUCCCCGGACCGAGGACCGCGCUUCGGCUAGGAUGCUGGCGUAAUGAUGGCAAGCGACCCGUCUUGAAACACGGACCAAGGAGUCGAUCAUCUAUGCGAGUGUUUGGGUGUUAAACCCAUACGCGGAAUGAAAGUGAACGGAGGUGAGAACCGUAAAGGUGCAUCAUCGACCGAUCCUGAUGUCUUCGGAUGGAUUUGAGUAGGAGCAUAGCCGAUCGGACCCGAAAGAUGGUGAACUAUGCGUGAAUAGGGUGAAGCCAGAGGAAACUCUGGUGGAGGCUCGCAGCGGUUCUGACGUGCAAAUCGAUCGUCAAAUUUGCGCAUAGGGGCGAAAGACCGUAAGCAUUAGCCUUCAAAGUGUCUUUUUAUAUUUACUAACUGAACAUUUUAGAAUCGAACUAUCUAGUAGCUGGUUCCUGCCGAAGUUUCCCU
RNAcentral lists this ribosomal RNA (974 nucleotides) under Dibaeis baeomyces. RNAcentral's name for it is "eukaryotic LSU rRNA". It matches the Rfam family "Eukaryotic large subunit ribosomal RNA", at positions 24 to 973 of the family's 3401-position model. The record is from RNAcentral. Lineage: Eukaryota; Fungi; Ascomycota; Lecanoromycetes; Pertusariales; Icmadophilaceae.